RNAcentral lists this non-coding RNA (486 nucleotides) under Pongo abelii (Sumatran orangutan). The record is from RNAcentral. Lineage: Eukaryota; Metazoa; Chordata; Mammalia; Primates; Hominidae.
UCUCACAUGAGGUCCCGGCGAGAAGGAUCUGCCUCCAUCAGAUUCACACUCGGGAGAGGAGCCCGGCCUCCAGGAGCGCCAGGCAGAGGAGAGGGCACCCAUUAGGAAGAAGAACACAGAGCCCAUGGGAGUGAAAAGUUUGAUGCUGGAAAGCAACAGUAACACAUUCUGCUACAGAGCGGAAUGAAAAACCCUGGAGAGCAAAUUCCUGAGCCAGAGAAUGGAGCGGAGGAACCAGCCAAGGAGGAUAAAGAGAGCUGCAUGCUCUGAGGCUGCCCGACCCUGCGCUCCAGAACAGGAGACAAGUGUUCAGGAGACAAGCAUGUCAGCCAUGACACAAGGCAGAUGAGAGGGAUCCCCAGCGUCCACAUGUGGAGGCAGCGGGGGCAGCCGAUCCAUACAAACAGGCCGAACAUCAAUCAGGGCUGGUCCCAGGCCACCCGGCCGGGUGCAAUGCAGAAAUGGAGAUCUGCCCCGGGGCAGCCA